UACGUAGGGUGCGAGCGUUAAUCGGAAUUACUGGGCGUAAAGCGUGCGCAGGCGGUUUUGUAAGCCAGAUGUGAAAUCCCCCGGGCUUAACCUGGGAAUGGCAUUUGGGACUGCAAGGCUCGAGUGCGGCAGAGGAGACUGGAAUUCCUGGUGUAGCAGUGAAAUGCGUAGAUAUCAGGAGGAACACCGAUGGCGAAGGCAGGUCUCUGGGCUGACACUGACGCUCAUGCCACGAAAGCGUGGGGAGCAACAGG
RNAcentral lists this ribosomal RNA (254 nucleotides) under uncultured bacterium. Its description in RNAcentral is "partial 16S ribosomal RNA". It matches the Rfam family "Bacterial small subunit ribosomal RNA", at positions 524 to 775 of the family's 1533-position model. The record is from RNAcentral.